RNAcentral lists this microRNA precursor (67 nucleotides) under Chinchilla lanigera (long-tailed chinchilla). RNAcentral's name for it is "miRNA (ENSCLAG00000021153.1)". Lineage: Eukaryota; Metazoa; Chordata; Mammalia; Rodentia; Chinchillidae. The record is from RNAcentral.
CUGGAAUGUAGCUCAGUGGUAGAGCAUAUGCCCAGCAGGCACAAGGCCCUGAGUUCAAUCCCUAACA